UACAGUUUAUUACACAAUUAUUUAGCACAACUCACAUUUUUACAUAAAAUAUUUACCAAACUAUGAUAAGUACACGUUAUAUCCAAUUACUUAACAAACUAUAAGGGGUGGGGGUAGUCACUAGUGAUAGAAUUCUAUCACUCACAAGCAUCCAAUCAACUCCUACCAUGUCAUCAGCCACUAUUCUAUCACUCACAUCCUUUUUAGUGGCAAUGAUCAUCACUCACAACACCUAACAAUAAACCCCCACACCCCCUCACAUCCAUCAUUUUUCACGCGUUAUAAAAGUAACGGAAAACCAUCACGUUGAACCUAUCACUCGUGAAUGUUUUGGUUGCGGUGGACAUUUUGAAACUUCCACGCAUUAUGAAGUUUUAUCACGGAAGUUUAACGAUGCGCCCCCAGUGGCCUAAGUACACGUUAUAUCCAAUAAAAGUAAUUGGUUGUUGUGGAUACCGGUAAAAUGAUAUGAUUUUGGGUAAAUUCACCUCCAUUCUAAUAAGCUGCAUAUGACCACGUGAUAAAAGAUGUUAUAUAAUAAGUUAAUAAUAACGCAUUACUUUCUUUAUUCAAAUCUAUCUUCCUCCCUACUUUCCUUAUUUUCUUUUGAAUUGUCUCUUUUUAACAUACUAUAUGCUUUGAACUACUUUUCCAUCCAAAAUCCAAAUAAUCAUCGGAAAAGAAUGAACGAGGCUGCUAGUUCCGUGGUGGUCGGAAAAGUAGUGGACUUGGUGUGUGGUGUGGCUAAAAAGGAGAUUAGCUACGUGUGUAAUUGCUCUGAAAAUGUUGAAAAAUAUAAAAAUGAAGCUGAUAAGCUGUCGAGUAUGAAGGGAAGGGUUCAGCAACAAAUAGAUUUGGCUAAAUCUAAAGGGGAAGUUCUCCUAGAAGGUGUGGAAGAGUGGAUGAAGAAAGCAGAUGGUUAUACAUCCAAGGCCACACAGUUUACUAACGGAGAGGACCAGGAGAAAUGCUUCCAUGUGUGUACCCUCCGUCGUUGUAGUAAGACGGCGAUAAAAAAAACGUUUUAUCUUCAGCAGCACCAAGAAGCCGGUAAGAGUUUUGAAACUUGUGUCUCCCUUCCUGCUCAAGCCCCAGGAUUCACAGAUCUUUAUCAACGUAAAAAUCUUGAAGAUAUCCAUACCCAAAAGUCGACUUUGAAGAAAAUCAUUCGAGCUAUAGAAGAUGACACAAUUCAAAUAGUUGGAAUCAAUGGCUUAGGAGGUGUAGGUAAAACUACACUAGCUAGUGAAGUUGCUAAAGAAAAAAAAAAUGAAUUUGCGGCUGUUGUGUUUAUAACCGUCACACAAACUGUUGAUGCUAAAAUAAUUCAAGAAAAGGUUCGCGUUGCGGCAAGUAGAAUAAUGAACGGAGAGAAGGUUCUAAUCGUUCUAGAUGACGUUUGGGAAGAACUGAAGCUUGAGGAAUUGGGCAUUCCAUGUGGGAGUGAGUACAUGAAUUGCAAGAUUUUGCUUACAUCUAGAAGCAGAGACGUGUGUGCGGCAAUGAAUGCCCAAAAGAAUAUUUCGGUGAACCCUUUGCAAGAGAAAGAAGCGUGGACCCUUUUUGAACGUGUGGUUGGUAAAAGUGAAUGGGACGUUACAUUGAAGGAAGUUGCAUUAAAGAUUGUCAAGGAAUGUGGCGGAUUGCCACUUUUUAUUCAAGCUCUUGGAAAAGCCCUAAAAGACAAAGAAAUUAGAAUGUGGGAGGUAGCGCUUCGUCGACUACAAGCUCCCGUAGAUGGGGAUGUCACCUAUAAAAAGGAAGGUAUACUGCAAUUGAAGCUAAGCUAUGACCAUCUAGAAGAUGAAGUAGCUAAGUCGUGUUUCUUAUUGUGUAGUAUGUUCCCAGAAGAUGGAAACAUUGGCCUUAAAACGUUGACACAUUAUGGGCUCGCUCUUGGGAUAUUUAAUAAUCCCGAUAGCAUUCACGAUACAAAAGAUAUAGUCCAACUGGCUGUUGAGUCUCUUAAAUCAUCUUUCUUGUUAUCCCCUGUGGAUAUAAACAUUUAUUCACUGGUUGGAUUUCGUUUACAACAACAAGAAGAAGAAUUAUUUAAAAUGCACGACCUUGUUCGUGAUAUGGCAUUGUUCAUUACUUUUAAAGGCGAUGACAAGUUUUUGGUGAAGUCCGGAAAAGGUUUGAGAGAAUGGCAGCCAAGAAGCGACGUUAUAAAAAGCUACAAGAAGAUCUCGCUCAUGGAAAAUAAAAUAUGUAAGCUUCCUAAUUAUGAACCUGAUUUGCCGCAUCUUGAUACUUUCCUUAUACAAAUGAAUGAACUUUCAAUUGUUCCGGAUGAAUUCUUUCGGGGCAUGAAAGAGCUGAAAGUUUUAGAUAUGCGGGGUAACAACAUUUCAUCUCUCCCACAAUCACUAACGCAGCUCACAAUGCUACGCCUGCUAGAUCUAAGUGAUAACAUGUCUCUCAGUGAAAUUUCAUUACUUGGGGGGUUGUCAUGUCUUGAGAUUCUAAAGCUUAGACGUACUGGAAUUAUAAAUAUCCCUGAAGAGAUCGGACGAUUGACCAAUUUAAGGCUACUGGAUAUUUACUCUUGUGGUGAUCUAUCUUACGUUACACCUGGUGUGCUAUCAAAGCUCACUAGGUUGGAAGAGUUGUAUGUUCAGUUAAUGACGGGGGAUUGUAAUUUUCUUACGGAACUAAGCGAAUUGACGUUGCUGAAAAUUCUGCAUUUAAGAGUUUGGGAAUUGCAUUAUAUUCCCAAAAUUGAAACCUUGAUAGAAUUUGACAUUGGGCCACCUGGAUGCGCAUUGCGUUUAUAUAAACGCUGCCUAGAAUUUUCAGGAUAUAAAUGCUCAUGGACGGUGCCAAUUAGGAAACUGAUUCAGCUAUCUGAAUUGUUAACAUUGUCAUAUAUAGAAGAUUUGGAUAACAUCUUACCAGACCUAUAUCAAGAAGGUUUCGAUGAAUUAAGGUAUAUUUCUUUGUCGUACUGUGAGAAUGUUAGAAGCUUGGUGAAGACAUGUGACUUAGAUGGAAUUCAGACUUCAAAUGAAAGUGGUCCGAUGAAAACAAAGGGAAAGUUUUUUUCCUAUUUGGAAGGAAUCAAAUUGCACCGCUUGAAUAGCUUGGAGCUUCUGUGGGAUAACCCACAUCAAUAUAUAAGCUUUUGUAAUCUAAGGAGUAUCAAGAUAACAGAUUGCCCCUCUUUAUUAAAGCUAUUCCCUAUAAGCGUAGCGCAAGGGCUUGUCAAUCUCAAACUCAUAGAGAUUAUGGAUUGUGAAAGUUUGGUGAAUGUUAUUUCGGAUGGAGAUGAGCAAACAACUGGAAGUGAAAUUGAAUUGGUAAAACAGGAUACAAAUAUCGUGUUCUCCUUUGAUCAUAUUAAGCUUUAUUAUCUCCCCAAACUUGAGAACUUCUACUCUGGCCCUUCUAUCGUCAAAUAUCCUUCUUUGAAGUCUCUUUUAGUGAGCAAUUGUCCUAGCAUGACGAGAGAGAGUGUAGCAUUAAUGAUUAUAUUGCAGGAAAACAUGAGAAGAAAGGGAAACUUCACGAUGACGGAGGGAUGAACAAGGCUGUUGUAUAUGCUUUCUAGUAUGUUUAUCGUGUAUUGAAUAAUGAGUUGGUGCAAGGAGAUUGCAAUAUUUGCUCCAACCAAGUUCGUUUACAGGUCAUGGGUGGUCACGUAUCGGGUCAUGGGUACGGAUCAAGACGUUGAAGUUUGCAUGAAAUAAACUACGAGUCUCAUGGGUUUACGUGGAUGUUACAUGGCUAGAAGUAUUUAUACUUUUAUAUGUUAUUUCUUAUUUAAUAGUUUAUUAUUUAGAAUAAGUAUUAUAGUUUGACCAAAUAAAGUGGAGAUAGAAUAUGCCAAUAUGGGUCAGUAUGUUUUACCGAAUAAUGUUGUUUACUGGUAGUUUUUAGGUGGUUUUGUUUAUGUUGUUUACCGGUAGUUUUUAGGUGGUUUUGUUUAUUUUCGUUGCUCUUGUAGGCUAUUUAAAGCCAUUUAGGUUGAGGAAUAAAAACAGCCUUUUGCUUUUAUAG
Helianthus annuus (common sunflower) is the source of this 3999-nucleotide RNA transcript. It is a transcript of the gene named probable disease resistance protein At1g61300, with no coding region annotated. The transcript has 4 exons. The record is from RefSeq and is a predicted model, not a curated record. NCBI's taxonomy places the organism in Eukaryota, Viridiplantae, Streptophyta, Magnoliopsida, Asterales, Asteraceae.